RNAcentral lists this ribosomal RNA (502 nucleotides) under uncultured bacterium. RNAcentral describes it as "bacterial SSU rRNA". It matches the Rfam family "Bacterial small subunit ribosomal RNA", at positions 8 to 507 of the family's 1533-position model. The record is from RNAcentral.
AGAGUUUGAUCCUGGCUCAGGAUGAACGCUAGCGGGAGGCCUAACACAUGCAAGCCGAGCGGUAUUGUUUCUUCGGAAAUGAGAGAGCGGCGUACGGGUGCGGAACACGCGUGCAACCUGCCUUUAUCUGGGGGAUAGCCUUUCGAAAGGAAGAUUAAUACUCCAUAAUAUAUUGAACGGCAUCGUUUAAUAUUGAAAGCUCCGGCGGAUAGAGAUGGGCACGCGCAAGAUUAGCUAGUUGGUGAGGUAACGGCUCACCAAGGCAAUGAUCUUUAGGGGGCCUGAGAGGGUGAUCCCCCACACUGGUACUGAGACACGGACCAGACUCCUACGGGAGGCAGCAGUGAGGAAUAUUGGUCAAUGGGUGCAAGCCUGAACCAGCCAUCCCGCGUGAAGGACGACUGCCCUAUGGGUUGUAAACUUCUUUUGUAUAGGGAUAAACCUUUCCACGUGUGGAAAGCUGAAGGUACUAUACGAAUUUAAAGCACCGGCUAACUCCGUG